This 1254-nucleotide long non-coding RNA is filed under the name Medicago truncatula (barrel medic). Its description in RNAcentral is "long non-coding RNA (MTRU_LNC003127)". The record is from RNAcentral. Lineage: Eukaryota; Viridiplantae; Streptophyta; Magnoliopsida; Fabales; Fabaceae.
UAAAAUGAAGAAUCCGAGGAAGAUUACAAGGUAUUUGACAAAAGAAAUCUCCUAAGUCUGAAAUUUUUUUAUGUUACUUGUAAAGGAGGUCUUUAAUCCCAAAGGAAAGAAAGCAAGCAAACGAUCCUUCACUCCUCCCAAACUGAUCAAAGUUUCUGCUAAGAGAAAGAGAAGUGAAUCAAUAUUACCAAGGUGCGAGGGGAAUGUAGUUAUUGGGCUGAUUUAAGUCGUGAAGUCACUUGUUUCCAUAAUUACUAACUAGUUACUACAUAAUUUCAAUAGAUGUUCAUCAAUAUUAAGUAUGUCACCUCCCUAAGAACUUACUAUCAUGGUACGCUCACUUUCGGUUUGUUUCGCUAUUUACUAAUUAAUUACUUCCUAGUUAGAUUGAUAUAAACAUCAUAUAUGAAUAUCAGUAUUAGGCUCUGUCAAAUCAUUCACCCGUCUGCGCCCUCAUCACCAAUCCCCAAUUACCUCGCCCACACCACUCAACAACAGUCGCCCUACUAAUAAACUUCAAGUGAGCUCGCCCAACCCACUCAAACGUCUUCGCCCUCUUCACCAAGCUCUAACGAGCUCGCCCAAAACAUUUAAAUGUCCUCGCCCCCGUCCCCAAUAUCCAAUGAACUGGACCGCAUCACUACAUCACCAAUGCCUCCAGUACCGCCCCCACUGUAACACCCCGUUUUCCCAACUUAAAAAUUUCAUAAACAUUUAUCAGAGUAAACAACACAUAACGGAAUGCUACACUUCUAAAAUAUAAUAAAUGAGAUAAUUAACUAAUUAUCUUUCCAAAAAUUCAUCAACAUAUUAAUUCAAACUUUGCAGCGGAUUAAAUUCUUGGCACGCAGGCCUUAUUAAAGCAUAAGCAAUACGUAAAGGAAUAGAAAAGCAAUAACAAAAGAUCUCAUCUCGUUACGUAUCAGAACAUCCUAAGACUCAGUGAGGAAUAAGUCACUCACGACAACAACAGCAGCAACCUACUAACGAUCACCUGCAAGUUACUCAUAGGAAGAGCAACAUUUCCAAGCAGAAGGGGUGAGAUUUCACAAAACAAUAAUAUUAAACAUAUAAUUCAACAAUUAUAUUUAACAACAUAACAACACAGUAAUCCAUCAUAUAUAAUAAUAUAGCAAUAACCUGAUCAUCAUCCUUUAGUAACAUAAACAACAACAUAUUCAACAUAAUCACAUCUUAAUCAAUAUAAUAAACAACAUAUUCAUUGUCUUUCAAUAACAACAUAUUCAACAUAAC